RNAcentral lists this transfer RNA (62 nucleotides) under Salmo salar (Atlantic salmon). It matches the Rfam family "tRNA", at positions 9 to 63 of the family's 71-position model. Rfam says of the family: Transfer RNA (tRNA) molecules are approximately 80 nucleotides in length. Their secondary structure includes four short double-helical elements and three loops (D, anti-codon, and T loops). Lineage: Eukaryota; Metazoa; Chordata; Actinopteri; Salmoniformes; Salmonidae. The record is from Rfam by way of RNAcentral.
GGCUCAGUUGGUAGAGCAUGGUGUUUGCAACGCCAGCAUGGUGUUGUGGGUUCGAUUCCCAC